UACGUAGGGUGCGAGCGUUGUCCGGAAUUAUUGGGCGUAAAGAGCUCGUAGGCGGCUUGUCGCGUCGGAUGUGAAAGCCCGGGGCUUAACUCCGGGUCUGCAUUCGAUACGGGCAGGCUAGAGUUCGGUAGGGGAGAUCGGAAUUCCUGGUGUAGCGGUGAAAUGCGCAGAUAUCAGGAGGAACACCGGUGGCGAAGGCGGAUCUCUGGGCCGAUACUGACGCUGAGGAGCGAAAGUGUGGGGAGCGAACAGG
This 253-nucleotide ribosomal RNA is filed under the name uncultured bacterium. RNAcentral describes it as "partial 16S ribosomal RNA". It matches the Rfam family "Bacterial small subunit ribosomal RNA", at positions 524 to 776 of the family's 1533-position model. The record is from RNAcentral.